Molecule: ribosomal RNA, 492 nt
Filed under: uncultured bacterium
Lineage: Bacteria
Description: partial 16S ribosomal RNA
Rfam family: Bacterial small subunit ribosomal RNA
Source: RNAcentral
GGUGAACGCUGGCGGUAGGCCUAACACAUGCAAGUCGAACGGCAGCACAGUAAGAGCUUGCUCUUACGGGUGGCGAGUGGCGGACGGGUGAGGAAUACAUCGGAAUCUACUUUUUCGUGGGGGAUAACGUAGGGAAACUUACGCUAAUACCGCAUACGACCUACGGGUGAAAGCAGGGGAUCUUCGGACCUUGCGCGAUUGAAUGAGCCGAUGUCGGAUUAGCUAGUUGGCGGGGUAAAGGCCCACCAAGGCGACGAUCCGUAGCUGGUCUGAGAGGAUGAUCAGCCACACUGGAACUGAGACACGGUCCAUACUCCUACGGGAGGCAGCAGUGGGGAAUAUUGGACAAUGGGCGCAAGCCUGAUCCAGCCAUACCGCGUGGGUGAAGAAGGCCUUCGGGUUGUAAAGCCCUUUUGUUGGGAAAGAAAAGCAGCAGGUUAAUACCCCGCUGUUCUGACGGUACCCAAAGAAUAAGCACCGGCUAACUUCGUG